This 429-nucleotide ribosomal RNA is filed under the name Acidobacteriota bacterium. RNAcentral's name for it is "Acidobacteria bacterium partial 16S ribosomal RNA". It matches the Rfam family "Bacterial small subunit ribosomal RNA", at positions 355 to 776 of the family's 1533-position model. Lineage: Bacteria; Pseudomonadati; Acidobacteriota. The record is from RNAcentral.
UGGGGAAUUUUGGACAAUGGGGGAAACCCUGAUCCAGCCAUCCCGCGUGUGCGAUGAAGGCCUUCGGGUUGUAAAGCACUUUUGGCAGGAAAGAAACGUCAUGGGUUAAUACCCCGUGAAACUGACGGUACCUGCAGAAUAAGCACCGGCUAACUACGUGCCAGCAGCCGCGGUAAUACGUAGGGUGCAAGCGUUAAUCGGAAUUACUGGGCGUAAAGCGUGCGCAGGCGGUUCGGAAAGAAAGAUGUGAAAUCCCAGAGCUCAACUUUGGAACUGCAUUUUGAACUACCGGGCUAGAGUGUGUCAGAGGGAGGUGGAAUUCCGCGUGUAGCAGUGAAAUGCGUAGAUAUGCGGAGGAACACCGAUGGCGAAGGCAGCCUCCUGGGAUAACACUGACGCUCAUGCACGAAGGCGUGGGGAGCAAACAGG